This 338-nucleotide ribosomal RNA is filed under the name Heyndrickxia coagulans. RNAcentral's name for it is "bacterial SSU rRNA". It matches the Rfam family "Bacterial small subunit ribosomal RNA", at positions 927 to 1264 of the family's 1533-position model. Lineage: Bacteria; Bacillati; Bacillota; Bacilli; Caryophanales; Bacillaceae. The record is from RNAcentral.
AAGCGGUGGAGCAUGUGGUUUAAUUCGAAGCAACGCGAAGAACCUUACCAGGUCUUGACAUCCUCUGACCUCCCUGGAGACAGGGCCUUCCCCUUCGGGGGACAGAGUGACAGGUGGUGCAUGGUUGUCGUCAGCUCGUGUCGUGAGAUGUUGGGUUAAGUCCCGCAACGAGCGCAACCCUUGACCUUAGUUGCCAGCAUUCAGUUGGGCACUCUAAGGUGACUGCCGGUGACAAACCGGAGGAAGGUGGGGAUGACGUCAAAUCAUCAUGCCCCUUAUGACCUGGGCUACACACGUGCUACAAUGGAUGGUACAAAGGGCUGCGAGACCGCGAGGUU